RNAcentral lists this ribosomal RNA (111 nucleotides) under Sinocyclocheilus grahami. The record is from RNAcentral. Lineage: Eukaryota; Metazoa; Chordata; Actinopteri; Cypriniformes; Cyprinidae.
GCCGGCAGCCAUAUCACCCUGUAGCCCAAGACUGGUUGCCCACUGAAGCUAAGCAGGGCUGAGCCUGGUCAGUACGGGAGACCUCCUGGGAAAGCUAGAUUGCUGCUGGAA